UACGGAAGGUGCAAGCGUUGAUCGGAAUUAUUGGGCGUAAAGAGUACGUAGGCGGAUUUGUAUGUCGAUUGUGAAAUCCCAGGGCUUAACCUUGGAAUUGCAGUCGAAACUGCGGAUCUUGAAUACCUGAGAGGGUGGGAGAAUUCCUGGUGGAGAAGUGAAAUUCGUAGAGAUCAGGAGGAAUACCGGAGGCGAAGGCGCCUGCCUGGCAGUGUAUUGACGCUGAGGUACGAAAGCGUGGGGAGCAAACAGG
Molecule: ribosomal RNA, 253 nt
Filed under: uncultured bacterium
Lineage: Bacteria
Description: partial 16S ribosomal RNA
Rfam family: Bacterial small subunit ribosomal RNA
Source: RNAcentral